CAGCAUACGUCCAGGGGAGGAUCUUGUCCAAGGAAUAUGUGAACCGAGAUCCCCUUAGCCCCCUCUUCAUAGUCGAGAUAGCCAUGUCUUCAUUAAGGUCUCGGACCUCAAGUGUGGCCACGUUGAAUCGGGCCACAAAGUGUCGGAGCGUCUCGUUUUCUCCCUGUUUGAGGGAGAAAAGACUGUUCGAGGUUCGCGACGACUUCCGAUUAGUGCUGAAGUGAGCCACGAAAGAAUGCUCGAGCUGUCCGAAGGAGUGGAUACUCCCUGAGUGGAUGUCGGAGUACCAGGUCCUGGUAGCUUUACGAAGCGUGGUGGGGAAGCCGA
Molecule: long non-coding RNA, 327 nt
Filed under: Elaeis guineensis (African oil palm)
Lineage: Eukaryota; Viridiplantae; Streptophyta; Magnoliopsida; Arecales; Arecaceae
Description: long non-coding RNA (EGUI_LNC030453)
Source: RNAcentral